This 24-nucleotide non-coding RNA is filed under the name Arabidopsis thaliana (thale cress). The record is from RNAcentral. Lineage: Eukaryota; Viridiplantae; Streptophyta; Magnoliopsida; Brassicales; Brassicaceae.
GAGAUCGAGUGAUAAUGAGAUGGA